GAUGAACGCUGGCGGCGUGCCUAAUACAUGCAAGUCGAACGCUGGAAAUCUAGCUUGCUAGAUUGAAGGAGUGGCGAACGGGUGAGUAAUACAUAAGCAACCUACCCACGAAGACUGGGAUAAUCUCUGGAAACGGGGACUAAUACCGGAUAGGUAAUCGGAAGGCAUCUUCUGAUUAUUAAAGGUUAAAAACACUGGUGGAUGGGCUUAUGGCGCAUUAGUUAGUUGGUGAGGUAACGGCCCACCAAGACGAUGAUGCGUAGCCGGCCUGAGAGGGUGAACGGCCAUAUUGGGACUGAGACACGGCCCAGACUCCUACGGGAGGCAGCAGUAGGGAAUUUUCGGCAAUGGGGGAAACCCUGACCGAGCAACGCCGCGUGAGUGAUGACGGCCUUCGGGUUGUAAAGCUCUGUUGUAAGGGAAGAACGGUAGAUAGAGAAUAUCUAAAUGACGGUACCUUACCAGAAAGCCACGGCUAACUACGUG
RNAcentral lists this ribosomal RNA (486 nucleotides) under uncultured bacterium. RNAcentral's name for it is "partial 16S ribosomal RNA". It matches the Rfam family "Bacterial small subunit ribosomal RNA", at positions 28 to 507 of the family's 1533-position model. The record is from RNAcentral.